Molecule: ribosomal RNA, 254 nt
Filed under: uncultured bacterium
Lineage: Bacteria
Description: partial 16S ribosomal RNA
Rfam family: Bacterial small subunit ribosomal RNA
Source: RNAcentral
CACGUAGGGACCAAGCGUUGUUCGGAUUUACUGGGCGUAAAGGGCGCGUAGGCGGCAAUUCAAGUCAUCUGUGAAAUCUCCGGGCUUAACCCGGAACGGUCAGGUGAUACUGUUUUGCUAGAGUGCGGAAGGGGCAAUCGGAAUUCUCGGUGUAGCGGUGAAAUGCGUAGAUAUCGAGAGGAACACCAGAGGUGAAGACGGGUUGCUGGGCCGACACUGACGCUGACAGCGCGAAAGCCAGGGGAGCAAACGGG